UAAUUGAAGAGUUUGAUCAUGGCUCAGAUUGAACGCUGGCGGUAGGCUUAACACAUGCAAGUCGUGCGAGAAAGUAUCUUCGGAUAUGAGUAGAGCGGCGGACGGGUGAGUAACGCGUAGGAAUCUACCUAGUAGAAGGGGAUAGCCCGGGGAAACUCGGAUUAAUACCGUAUACCUCCUUCGGGAGAAAGAAGGCCUCUCUUUGAAGCUUUCGCUAUUAGAUGAGCCUGCGUAAGAUUAGCUUGUUGGUGAGGUAAAGGCUCACCAAGGCGACGAUCUUUAGCGGGUCUGAGAGGACGAUCCGCCACAUUGGGACUGAGACACGGCCCAGACUCCUACGGGAGGCAGCAGUGGGGAAUAUUGGACAAUGGGCGCAAGCCUGAUCCAGCCAUACCGCGUGUGUGAAGAAGGCCCUAGGGUUGUAAAGCACUUUAAGUUGGGAAGAAAAGUUAUUGGUUAAUACCCAAUAACCGUGACAUUACCAUCAGAAUAAGGACCGGCUAAUUCCGUGCCAGCAGCCGCGGUAAUACGGAAGGUCCAAGCGUUAAUCGGAAUUACUGGGCGUAAAGCGCGCGUAGGUGGUUUAUUAAGUUGGAUGUGAAAUCCCCGGGCUCAACCUGGGAACUGCAUCCAAAACUGAUUCACUAGAGUACGAUAGAGGGAGGUAGAAUUCACAGUGUAGCGGUGGAAUGCGUAGAUAUUGUGAAGAAUACCAAUGGCGAAGGCAGCCUCCUGGAUCUGUACUGACACUGAGGUGCGAAAGCGUGGGUAGCGAACAGGAUUAGAUACCCUGGUAGUCCACGCCGUAAACGAUGUCAACUAGCUGUUGGAGAACUAUGUUCUUCAGUGGCGCAGCUAACGUAGUAAGUUGACCGCCUGGGGAGUACGGCCGCAAGGCUAAAACUCAAAUGAAUUGACGGGGACCCGCACAAGCGGUGGAGCAUGUGGUUUAAUUCGAUGCAACGCGAAAAACCUUACCUAUACUUGACAUACUUGGAAUGCUUUGUAAUGAAGCAGUGCCUUCGGGAGCCAAGAUACAGGUGCUGCAUGGCUGUCGUCAGCUCGUGUCGUGAGAUGUUCCGUUAAGUCGGAUAACGAGCGCAACCCUUACCCUUAUUUGCCAGCGAUUCGGUCGGGAACUAUAAGGGGACUGCCGGUGAUAAACCGGAGGAAGGUGAGGACGACGUCAAGUCAUCAUGGCCCUUACGUAUAGGGCUACACACGUGCUACAAUGGAGAAUACAGACGGACGCUAAGCCGCGAGGUGGUGCUAAUCCUAGAAAAUUCUUCGUAGUCCGGAUUGGAGUCUGCAACUCGACUCCAUGAAGUCGGAAUCGCUAGUAAUCGCGAAUCAGCAUGUCGCGGUGAAUACGUUCUCGGGUCUUGUACACACCGCCCGUCAUACCAUGGAAGUGGAUUGCACCAGAAGUAGAUAGUCUAACCUUCGGGAGGGCGUUUACCACGGUGUGCUUCAUGACUGGGGUAAAGUCGUAACAAGGUAGCCGUAGGGGAACCUGUGGCUGGAUCACCUCCUUA
Molecule: ribosomal RNA, 1535 nt
Filed under: Pseudomonadota bacterium
Lineage: Bacteria; Pseudomonadati; Pseudomonadota
Description: bacterial SSU rRNA
Rfam family: Bacterial small subunit ribosomal RNA
Source: RNAcentral